RNAcentral lists this ribosomal RNA (497 nucleotides) under uncultured bacterium. RNAcentral describes it as "partial 16S ribosomal RNA". It matches the Rfam family "Bacterial small subunit ribosomal RNA", at positions 28 to 507 of the family's 1533-position model. The record is from RNAcentral.
GAUGAACGCUGGCGGCGUGCCUAAUACAUGCAAGUCGAGCGAACGGACGAGAAGCUUGCUUCUCUGAUGUUAGCGGCGGACGGGUGAGUAACACGUGGAUAACCUACCUAUAAGACUGGGAUAACUUCGGGAAACCGGAGCUAAUACCGGAUAAUAUUUUGAACCGCAUGGUUCAAAAGUGAAAGACGGUCUUGCUGUCACUUAUAGAUGGAUCCGCGCUGCAUUAGCUAGUUGGUAAGGUAACGGCUUACCAAGGCAACGAUGCAUAGCCGACCUGAGAGGGUGAUCGGCCACACUGGAACUGAGACACGGUCCAGACUCCUACGGGAGGCAGCAGUAGGGAAUCUUCCGCAAUGGGCGAAAGCCUGACGGAGCUACGCCGCGUGAGUGAUGAAGGUCUUCGGAUCGUAAAACUCUGUUAUUAGGGAAGAACAUAUGUGUAAGUAACUGUGCACAUCUCGACGGUACCUAAUCAGAAAGCCACGGCUAACUACGUG